CAUUCUCAAUGAUCAUGGUCAUCUAUUCUCUCAGUCAUUUUGGAUUGAUGUUUUCAACUCUGUUAUUUUACCCAUAUUCAGCAGUGUAUGCGACAAGAAAGAUAAUUUUAUUCAAGAUGGUCAGCAUUCACCAACUGCAGCAUCUCAACAUCAGGAAGGAAAUGCAUGGGAUCCUGAAACUUCUGCAUUGGCGGCUCAGCGUCUAGUAGACUUAUUUGUCAGCUUCUUCAAUACAGUUUCGUCUCAACUAUCAAGUGUGGUAUCUGUAUUGACUGGAUUCAUUAGAAGUCCCA
RNAcentral lists this unclassified non-coding RNA (293 nucleotides) under Hevea brasiliensis (rubber tree). The record is from RNAcentral. Lineage: Eukaryota; Viridiplantae; Streptophyta; Magnoliopsida; Malpighiales; Euphorbiaceae.